Molecule: transfer RNA, 73 nt
Filed under: Canis lupus familiaris (dog)
Lineage: Eukaryota; Metazoa; Chordata; Mammalia; Carnivora; Canidae
Also listed under: 1 other name
Rfam family: tRNA
About the family: Transfer RNA (tRNA) molecules are approximately 80 nucleotides in length.
Source: Rfam by way of RNAcentral
ACCUGGCUGGCUCAAUCGGUAGAGUAUGUGAUUGUUGAUCUCAGGGUCAUGAGUUUGAACCCCGUGUUAGAUA